This 95-nucleotide microRNA precursor is filed under the name Equus caballus (horse). RNAcentral's name for it is "mir-544 microRNA precursor family". It matches the Rfam family "mir-544 microRNA precursor family". Lineage: Eukaryota; Metazoa; Chordata; Mammalia; Perissodactyla; Equidae. The record is from Rfam by way of RNAcentral.
AUCACCUGGACACCUUGCUAAAUGCAGAUUCUGAUUCAGUAGGUCUGUUAGGGCUGGAGAUUCUGCAUUUCUAACAAGCUCCCAGGUGAUGCUGA